GACGAACGCUGGCGGCGUGCUUAACACAUGCAAGUCGAGCGGUAAGGGCCCUUUCGGGGGUACACGAGCGGCGAACGGGUGAGUAACACGUGGGUGACCUGCCCUCAGCUCUGGGGAUAAGCCUGGGAAAGCUGGGUCUAAUACUGGAUAUGACUCCACGGUGCAUGUCGUGGGGUGGAAAGCCUUGUGCGGCUGAGGAUGGGCCCGCGGCCUAUCAGCUUGUUGGUGGGGUGAUGGCCUACCAAGGCGACGACGGGUAGCCGG
RNAcentral lists this ribosomal RNA (264 nucleotides) under uncultured bacterium. Its description in RNAcentral is "partial 16S ribosomal RNA". It matches the Rfam family "Bacterial small subunit ribosomal RNA", at positions 28 to 290 of the family's 1533-position model. The record is from RNAcentral.